UGCGUAGGCGGCUUUUUAAGUUUGGUGUGAAAUCUCCUGGCUUAACCGGGAGGGUGCGCCGAAUACUGAGAAGCUAGAGUACGGGAGAGGAAAGUGGAAUUCCUGGUGUAGCGGUGAAAUGCGUAGAUAUCAGGAGGAACACCUGUGGUGUAGACGGCUUUCUGGACCGUAACUGACGCUGAGGCACGAAAGCGUGGGUAGCAAACAGGAUUAGAUACCCUGGUAGUCCACGCCCUAAACGAUGCAUAUUUGGUGUGGGCCAUUCAUUUGGUCCGUGCCGGAGCUAACGCGUUAAAUAUGCCGCCUGGGGAGUACAGUCGCAAGGCUGAA
RNAcentral lists this ribosomal RNA (330 nucleotides) under uncultured bacterium. RNAcentral describes it as "bacterial SSU rRNA". It matches the Rfam family "Bacterial small subunit ribosomal RNA", at positions 568 to 898 of the family's 1533-position model. The record is from RNAcentral.